AAGCGCUUACAACCAGACUUGAGUGUAAUGGUUCCCCCUUCCUUUUGGUUGGGUUACUCCAUUAUAUCCAGGCCAACAUCAGUUUUGGUGGUUGGUUAAAGGCUUUGAGAAUGUAUCUACCCCCGGGUCGACUUAUAGCUCAGAGUGUCAUGCAACCUACCGGGACUGAGGAACGCGCAUCUGCUCGGAUGUUGGCGUAAUGGUUGUCAGCGA
This 213-nucleotide ribosomal RNA is filed under the name Chaetothyriales sp. RNAcentral describes it as "partial large subunit ribosomal RNA". The record is from RNAcentral. Lineage: Eukaryota; Fungi; Ascomycota; Eurotiomycetes; Chaetothyriales.